This 765-nucleotide long non-coding RNA is filed under the name Gallus gallus (chicken). The record is from RNAcentral. Lineage: Eukaryota; Metazoa; Chordata; Aves; Galliformes; Phasianidae.
GUGAAAUCUAUACAUGCUCCUUGGAAAUGUGUAUUACUGAAAGCUUUGAGCAAAUGCGGAGGCUCAUUUGUUCCAAGUGGUUCCAACUUAAUAGGUCGAAUCGACAUAAUGAUUUUACUGGAUCCUCCCCAGUCAAAGAAACACUUAUAUUUUCCUUUCUCCAAUACAUACUGUUCUCCACAGAAAUGUUUCUGCUGAUAUGCAACCCACACUCCACUUUUCACGAGAAUCGACUUUGUUUCUGGGCCAAAUCCAGUCUGUUCCAAAUCAGGAAUUUCUUCAUUGACAAUGUCCAGAGCUUUCCCGUCUUCAUCAUCGGAUUGAAAAAGUGCCACUGACGACUCUAUGAAAUCAGCCUGAAGGAACCGGAAAGACAGGAGGACACUGCCAGUUCCUCCCCAUGUGUGCAUGUCCUCAUAAUCUCCCUCCUCGAGCAAGUACUGACGGCCUUUGUAACGUUCUUUGUCAUAGGCAACCCAUACGCCACCAAUGACACGUAUUGAUCCAAUUUCCUGAAAAUCCUCUUCAUUGCCAAACAGAGCCAGGACUGAACUGAUAUUUUCUGAGAACUCUUUGGACCACCCUCCAAAGUGGGUUUUCUCAUAUAUUAUUAUCUUGACAUUCAUAGGCAUUUGGACCUUUAAUCCACCCAUUUUUAAGGGACGCACAGAUCUUACAUCUGCUGAAGGAAUUUCAGAUAGUUCACUGCAUUCUUCCAAAAUCUUCAUCUCUCCCUUGUAAUUUAAAUCUGAAUAAGCAAGCCAU